This 459-nucleotide ribosomal RNA is filed under the name uncultured bacterium. RNAcentral's name for it is "partial 16S ribosomal RNA". It matches the Rfam family "Bacterial small subunit ribosomal RNA", at positions 338 to 795 of the family's 1533-position model. The record is from RNAcentral.
CCUACGGGCGGCAGCAGUGAGGAAUAUUGGUCAAUGGGCGCGAGCCUGAACCAGCCAAGUCGCGUGAGGGAAGACGGUCCUAUGGAUUGUAAACCUCUUUUGUCGGGGAGCAAAAGACGCCACGCGUGGCGUUCCGAGAGUACCCGACGAACAAGCAUCGGCUAACUCCGUGCCAGCAGCCGCGGUAAUACGGAGGAUGCGAGCGUUAUCCGGAUUUAUUGGGUGUAAAGGGUGCGCAGGCGGAAGAUCAAGUCAGCGGUAAAAUUGAGAGGCUCAACCUCUUCGAGCCGUUGAAACUGGUGUUCUUGAGUGAGCGAGAAGUAUGCGGAAUUCGUGGUGUAGCGGUGAAAUGCAUAGAUAUCACGCAGAACUCCGAUUGCGAAGGCAGCAUACCGGCGCUCAACUGACGCUCAUGCACGAAAGUGUGGGUAUCGAACAGGAUUAGAUACCCGAGUAGUC